GGGUGCUGGAGGUCGGGUUUGCCCAUGUAACAUCUCCUGCGAGAUGCUAUGCGAGCCCCGAAAAGAGUGCGAUUGACUUGGAAAUUAACGCUACAGGGACGUUUGCCACAAACUGCCGCUUUUAUUACGAUUACUUCUGAGCCGACAGGUCACAAGUUGAAGUAGAAGUGCGCGUAAGACCCCUAAAGCUGUCCGUCCGUUUUGUCCUACAAAGGCGCCCGAGCGCUCUGACAGCGGCAGGACUUCAGUGCGCAGGCCCGACGGCAGUGAAACGGCUUCCGAAGGACUACAUGAAACAAACUAGUCCUUCUAUAGCGGGAAACGAGCUGAACCAUGAGGAAGGACGUGAGGAUACUACUCGUAGGGGAACCCAAAGUGGGGAAGACGUCGCUGAUAAUGUCCCUGGUCAGCGAGGAGUUUCCUGAUGAGGUUCCUCUUCGCGCUGAGGAGAUCACCAUCCCAGCCGAUGUGACCCCAGAGAGGGUUCCCACACACAUUGUGGACUACUCGGAGGCAGAACAGUCGGACGAGCAGCUGUACCAAGAAAUAUCAAAGGCCAAUGUUAUCUGCAUAGUUUACUCCGUCAACAACAAGAAGUCCAUUGAAAAGGUGACCAGCCACUGGAUUCCACUCAUCAAUGACAGAACGGACAAGGACAGCAGAGUCCCAUUGAUCCUGGUGGGGAACAAGUCGGACCUGGUGGAACACAGCAGUAUGGAGACCAUCCUGCCAAUCAUGAAUCAAUACCAGGACAUCGAGACCUGUGUAGAGUGCUCCGCCAAAAACCUCAAGAACAUCUCCGAGCUGUUCUACUACGCCCAGAAGGCUGUUCUCCACCCGACGGGACCCCUGUACUGCCCGGAGGAGAAGGAGUUGAAGCCGUCCUGCAUUAAGUCUUUGACUAGAAUCUUCAAAGUGUCUGACCUGGACAACGACGGCAUCCUUAACGACAACGAGCUCAACUUCUUCCAGAGGACCUGCUUCAAUACGCCGCUAGCGCCUCAGGCCUUGGAGGACGUAAAGAACGUGGUCAGGAGGAACAUGGCGGACGGAGUCCAGGACAACGGGCUUUCGCUUAAAGGCUUCCUGUUCCUGCACACUCUGUUCAUCCAGCGGGGCCGACACGAGACCACCUGGACCGUGCUGCGGAGGUUCGGCUACGACGACGACCUGGAGCUCACACAGGAGUACCUCUUCCCCAUGAUCAAGAUGCCUCCGGACUGCACCACCGAGCUGAACCACAACGCUUACCUCUUCCUCCAGAGCGUCUUUGACAAACACGACAAGGACCGAGAUUGUGCGCUGUCGCCAGACGAGGUGAAGGACUUGUUCAAAGUGUUUCCCUACAUGCCCUGGGGUCCGGACGUCAACCACACGGUUUGCACCAACGAACAGGGAUGGAUCACAUACCAGGGAUACCUCUCCCAGUGGACGCUAACAACAUAUUUAGAUGUACAGCGUAGCUUGGAGUACUUGGGUUAUCUCGGCUACUCCAUCAUCUACGAACAGGAGUCCCAAGCUGCUGCCAUCACAGUGACGCGCAACAAGCGCAUCGACCUGCAGAAGAAGCAGACCCAGCGCAGCGUCUUCCGCUGCAACGUCCUGGGGGGCCGAGGCAGCGGGAAGAGCGCCUUCCUCCAAGCUUUCCUCGGCAAGAACCUGCAGGGACAGCGGCGGAUUAGAGAAGACCACAAGUCCUUCUACGCCAUCAGCACGACCUAUGUUUAUGGUCAGGAGAAGUACCUGCUGCUCCAUGAGGUGAUGCCAGAUUUCGACUUCCUGUCGGAGGCGGACCUAGCGUGCGAUGUGGUGUGCCUGGUGUAUGACAUCAACAACCCCGGCUCCUUUGAAUACUGCGCCAAAGUCUACAAGCAACACUUCAUCGACAGCAAGACGCCGUGCGUGGUGAUUGCCGCCAAGUCGGACCUGCACGAAGUGCGGCAGCACCACAGCCUCUCGCCGCACGAGUUCUGCCGCAAGCACAAGCUCCACCCACCACAGCCGUUCACCUGCAGCACGGCCGAGGCGCCCAACAAAGACAUCUACACCAGACUCACCACCAUGGCCAUGUACCCCCACGUCCGCCUCCGAUGCAUGUGCGCCUCCAACAGGUGCACAUAUUGCCUGUGUCAGAACCUCCUCAAGUUGGAGCUGCUGCGCAGCAUUAAGGCCCAACUGCGCAGGGUCUUGUUCAACAGGUUUACACUGCAUAUCCACUUCAGGAAAAAAGGGACUUUGUCGAUUUGGCGGUGGUAAAGAUUUGCAUUUGUGAAUUAUUGUGAAUACUUUGGUGAUCGCUUUUGGAGGAAACAAAACUUCUGCUUCGCUGGGUUGCCUCAUCGCUGUCUGUGUACCAAAGUGUAGGGUCCCCUAGGUGUUGCCCUAUUUGAUUUAUAACUUUUUUUUUCUUUAACUUUUUACCAUUUAACACGUUCACUGACAGUCUGCUGUCAACCAAUCGGUGUCGGCUUGAGUGGGUACCGAUCAAACACGAUGUUACCAUAGCAACAGACUUAGCUCGGAUGUUUUGAGCAAAAAACUCUUACUUACUUAUUAGCGCUGCUGGUUCACAUGAGGUGUUUUGGUCUCUGCUUCAGCUGAACUCACCCCUCCCCCCCCCUCUCUGUGCUCUGUGGCCCAGUGUGACCGCGCUGUGCUACUUAACGUGCAGGCUGCUCGCCGGGGGGGUGACUGCGGGUGGGGAGACAGAUGCAUGAUCAGAUGCAUGAUCUGUCAUAUGCAUGCUUAUACUGACCCGCAGGUAAAAUACCAACAUGUAUAUUCUGGUUUUUAUAUUGUUGGAUACUUUUGAGUAUUCAUAUUUUUCAGUUUGGAAAAAAAAUACUUUAGAAUGUUGUAUAAGUAUAAUGCACCAUAUCCAAAGUAUGUUCUAUGGAAUGCCGUUUUAUUCACAAUUAAAUAAAUAAAUGAAUAAAUACAUAAAUAAAUGAAUAAAUACAUGAAAUAUGCAUUUGAAAUACAUCAUGAAAUAAAUAAAUGAGGCAAUAAAUACAUAAAUAUUAAAUAAAUGUAAGGCAUUAAAUACAUGAAUAUUAAAUAAAUGUAAUUAUUUCAUGGUACUUUUAUUUCCAUAUUUAUUUAUUUCAAGAGACUUUUAUUUCAUAAUGCCACUUUUAUUUCACUUUCUUAUAUGCAAAUCGGGGGGCGUGGCUAUCUCUCACAUUCAGAACAGACAACAGAGCCGUGUGCAAAAAAAGGCUGGCUAGAGGACGUGAGAGUGUUUAUGAAAUGGCAUUAUGAAAAAAGUCUCUUGAAAUAAAUAAAUGUGUACUUAUGAAGUAAAUGUACCAUGAAAUAAUUAAAUGUAUUUAAUAUUUAUGUAUUUAUUGCCUCAUUUAUUCCGAUGCAUAUUUCAUGUAUUUAUGUAUUUAUUCAUUUAUUUCUGUAUUUAUUCAUUCAAUUGUGAAUAAAACUGCAUUCCAUACUGUUCAGACACAUAGUCAUUAUGAAAAAAGAUCAUGUCCUGCUAUGAAGCCUUUGAAAAGGUAGACAAAGUAAAAACUAAAUUCCAGGUGUGAAUUUAACUGACCUUUGACCUCUUCUCUCUAAGAGGCGGUCUGUCCUUCCUGUCCUGCAGUGGAUAUGCACACUGUGAAUCUUGACUAACAGGCUCUUUAUUUGCACAGAGAAUGACAGAAACCAGCCCAACUGAAAAACGUCAUUGAUGCCUGCGUGCUAGAUAUGUGAUUUAUUUUUACAUAAUAGUAUUAUAAUUCUAAAUCUUCUUUAAGGCACCAACCUUAAUUCAUUAUUGGAGAUUAACUGUGAUGUUUUCAGUCUCUCUCUGUCUUAAUUUACAUGCCUAAUACUAAAGUCUACAACUACAGGAGAAACUUUAUUUUGAAAAGCGGCACUGUUUUAGUACAAUAAUGUUUCUCCUUUAGGUUCAGACUUCAUAAAUGUAUCAGGCUUAUGUUAAAAAUCCCAAAGUGUUACUUUGAUAUGUGAUUUCAUCCUGUUUUUCCCUCUGUUGUAUUUCUCCUGUGUUUUUCCUUCGACUCUAUAGGUCCUCAAACACCUGUUUUUGGCUCCCCCUCUUCCUCUUCCUCCUGCACGUGUUCACUCUCUGCUAAUCCGUCUAGUGUGUUGCACGAUUCAACUGGUUUCUGCCUCGGUGUCCUGCCCAAAGGGUUUGAAUGUCUGUCUAUAGUGAUGGAGGGGGAUUUCUUUCAAGCAUAAAACACGGCUCCUUGUGGGGUGGACCCUGUAUGUUGCAUCCAGCACUAACGCUGUAUUCGUAUGUCUUUGAUGUCUUUGACGUGUUGGCUCUAAUAACAGCAUGACAUCUGAUGAGCAACGGGCCAAUCACAAAUCUGAAAAGUGGCUACAAUAAUAAAUUAUGUUGCGCCACUUGGUACAAAGAGAAUAACAUUUUACCACUAAUUUGUUACCAAUCAAACAAUCGAGUGUAUGAAAGGUGCCACACAAUGAAUGCAGAGUAAAAGUCAGCAGAGGCAGUUGGGACGAGUUUGAGAUUUACUUUAUUUCCAAAGAAAGCCACAAUUACGUCAUUAUGUAUUCAAAUAGGGACAAGAUUCAUCGCUAAACUCUUCAAUCUCGCUGUCAUGUGGUGUGUGCGGUCUGCAUAGUGUGUGUGUGUGUGUGUGUGUGUGUGUGUGUGUGUGUGUGUGUGUGUGUGUGUGUGUGUGUGUGUGUGUGUGUGUGUGUGUGUGGCUUUGUGAUGCUGGAGCUUGUGCUCUAGGGUUUGGGUGGGUGCUUGGUGGAGCUCAGUGAUAUGGAUGAGAUCAGAGAUCUUGUUAUUAGCUAACUUGCGUGUUGUUGGUUUAACUAUAGAUACUUUUACACAAUGAGUCUAAACUAGUGAAAUACAAUCUGCUCCUAAGAAUUUAACGCUGCAAAGAAACUGAAUCUCAUUCAACCAAAAUCUCAGUGAUAUUUAGUCCCACAGCUCAGUGUCCGUUUUGUUAUUUCUUUUUUUUCUGUUAUAUAAUUGUAAACUAAUAUUAAUGAAAAUAUAAGUACAGUUGUUAGUGUAGUCUUGAUGUCAACCGUUUUUCAACUUAAAAUAUCUUGUUAAAUGACACAUUUAAAGAUGUCACCCCUGAAAACGCACCGUGGACAUUUGACACAGUUUUGAUUUUUAUGCCCUCAAUAGAUCAUUCAUCUUGAAAUGAAAAUAUUAUACUGAAGUAUCUCUGUGCUCUACCAAGUGUGUGUGUGGUUGAGGCGGUUGCGCUUGGUGGGGCCUCUGGGGGGGGGGGGGGGGGGACCUGCUGAGGAGGAGUUCAGGAGCGUGGAGGGGCCCGUCUUUAUGGAGGCCUCUGCUGAGCAGCUAAUUCCCCCCCAGGAAGGCACAUGGCUCAGGCCGACCUGAAGAACUCCACCUUCUGGCUGAGGGCGAGCGUUGGUGCCACGGUGUUCGCCGUGCUGGGCUUCGCCAUGUACAGAGCGCUGCUCAAACAGCGGUGAUCCCCCCC
RNA transcript from Pungitius pungitius (ninespine stickleback), 5459 nucleotides. It is a transcript of the gene named ras homolog family member T1a, with no coding region annotated. Lineage: Eukaryota; Metazoa; Chordata; Actinopteri; Perciformes; Gasterosteidae. The record is from RefSeq and is a predicted model, not a curated record. The transcript is spliced from 21 exons.